CUAAUAGGCGAGCGCCAAAACAAGGAUUCGGAGGUUUUUAAUGCACCUACCUAACACACGGCUAUAUGAUAUAUCAUUUGAAAGGUCUUUUAUCGUACAUUCAGAAUUGCCUGGUCGUCAAAUUGGGAAAUGGUCACAUUUUUCUAAAAACGGCAAAAAAGGAGAAAAAUAUAAGUCAUAAUUUGACGAUAUUGUUUGAAAAAUGAAGUUUAAAAACAAAUUCA
Molecule: long non-coding RNA, 224 nt
Filed under: Mytilus galloprovincialis (Mediterranean mussel)
Lineage: Eukaryota; Metazoa; Mollusca; Bivalvia; Mytilida; Mytilidae
Source: RNAcentral